UACGGGGGGGUGCGAGCGUUGUCCGGAAUCACUGGGCGUAAAGGGCGCGUAGGUGGCCUGAUAAGGGGUGUGGUGAAAAGUCCGGGGGCUCAACCCCCGGAUCGCCGUGCCGACUGUUAGGCUAGAGUACUGUAGGGGGCAGGCGGAAUUCCGGGGUGUAGCGGUGGAAUGCGUAGAGAUCCGGAGGAACACCGACGGCGCAGGCAGCGCCCCUGGCUGUGAUAGCUGACACUGAGGCACGAAAAGCUGGGGGAGCAAACAGG
Molecule: ribosomal RNA, 263 nt
Filed under: uncultured bacterium
Lineage: Bacteria
Description: partial 16S ribosomal RNA
Rfam family: Bacterial small subunit ribosomal RNA
Source: RNAcentral